This 430-nucleotide ribosomal RNA is filed under the name Clostridioides difficile. RNAcentral describes it as "bacterial SSU rRNA". It matches the Rfam family "Bacterial small subunit ribosomal RNA", at positions 1 to 438 of the family's 1533-position model. The record is from RNAcentral. Lineage: Bacteria; Bacillati; Bacillota; Clostridia; Peptostreptococcales; Peptostreptococcaceae.
UUUUAUUUGAGAGUUUGAUCCUGGCUCAGGAUGAACGCUGGCGGCGUGCCUAACACAUGCAAGUUGAGCGAUUUACUUCGGUAAAGAGCGGCGGACGGGUGAGUAACGCGUGGGUAACCUACCCUGUACACACGGAUAACAUACCGAAAGGUAUGCUAAUACGGGAUAAUAUAUUUGAGAGGCAUCUCUUGAAUAUCAAAGGUGAGCCAGUACAGGAUGGACCCGCGUCUGAUUAGCUAGUUGGUAAGGUAACGGCUUACCAAGGCGACGAUCAGUAGCCGACCUGAGAGGGUGAUCGGCCACAUUGGAACUGAGACACGGUCCAAACUCCUACGGGAGGCAGCAGUGGGGAAUAUUGCACAAUGGGCGAAAGCCUGAUGCAGCAACGCCGCGUGAGUGAUGAAGGCCUUCGGGUCGUAAAACUCUGUCC